Molecule: ribosomal RNA, 497 nt
Filed under: uncultured bacterium
Lineage: Bacteria
Description: partial 16S ribosomal RNA
Rfam family: Bacterial small subunit ribosomal RNA
Source: RNAcentral
GAUGAACGCUGGCGGCGUGCCUAAUACAUGCAAGUCGAGCGAACGGACGCGAAGCUUGCUUCUCUGAUGUUAGCGGCGGACGGGUGAGUAACACGUGGAUAACCUACCUAUAAGACUGGGAUAACUUCGGGAAACCGGAGCUAAUCCCGGAUGAUAUUCUGAACCGCAUGGUUCAAAAGUGAAAGACGGUCUUGCUGUCACUUAUAGAUGGAUCCACGCUGCAUUAGCUAGUUGGUAAGGUAACGGGCUACCAAGGCAACGAUGCAUAUCCGACCUGAGAGAGAAAUCGGCCGCACUGGAACUGAGACACGAUCCAGACUCCUACGGGAGGCAGCAGUAGGGAAUCUACCGCAAGGGGCGAGAGCCUGACGGAACAACGCCGCGUGAGUGAUGAAGGUCUUCGGAUCGUAAAACUCUGUUAUUAGGGAAAAACAUAUGUGUAAGUAACUGUGCACAUCGUGACGGUGCCUAAGCAGAAGGCCACGGCUAACUACGUG